GGGUUUUGAGAGCUGGUGUUCUUGUUACCCAAGUCAUCAGUGGGAGUGUGUCUGAAACACUAAGAGUUGUAUCUCGUGGUUGGCCUUAGCUUAGCCACAGUAGUGUCAACAACCAUGAAGACACUACUGGAAAGCAGGUCUUCAUGAAAGACCAUCUAUGUAAGGUUGGCGCAUGUUCAUGUUUGGGGAUUGCCUUAAUUGAUGUAGGAAGACCCAACCUGAAAGUGUGUGGGUGUGUUGGGGGGGUUACCAUUCUGUAAUUUUUGACUCUGGACUGCAUAAGCAUAUAGAAAGCUAGCUGAGCACCAGGCGUCUACACAUGCAUUCCUACUUCCAGAGUGUAGAUGCAAGCUGAGCAGCCAGCUUCCUGCUUCUGCCUACAGGCUUCAUGCCCUGCCUCCGACCUGUUGUCAUGGCUUUCCCAAUGUGGUGGACUGUAUCCACCUGGAACUUUAAGCCCAGAUCAACCCCUUCCCUCUUACAUUGUUUUUGUCAGGGUAUUUUAUCCCAGCAAUGAGAAAUAAACCAACCAUCCCCUUAGUGGCCCCUGGCCUAGGUAGCAGUCUCUCCAGGGCUGCAUGUUAGCAUCCCAAGUCACCCAUGGAUAAACAUGGAAAGUGUGACAGCUUUACAAAAGAGCUUGGCAAGCCUUUCCCAUAAGGCUCCGUACACAUAGCAACUGCUCUAGCUGACUCCGGAAUGACUCUAAUAUUCUGCAGCAGUGCGAAACCUGCAGUCCUCAUGCAUAAGUCCAUGGGCUGAGUUUCUGUAAUAUGUACACACACAGGCAGAGGUCUUACUGUGAUGACCUGGGUCUACAUGGAUGACUAAUACUGAGAACUUAAGAUAUAAUCUAGAUAGUGCCCAUAUGCAAAUAUACCAAUCCUUCCACAAUCCUCAGAGAAAAUGCAUUCAUACACACUGACUGGCUACCUAUGGUUAUCAUUUGGUUAAUGGCGAAAUUAACUUUCAAGCCUAAGUAAUACACCUAGUAUCAGAGCUCUGCAAGACUGUCCACCUUUUGACUCUCUCUCUCUCUCUCUCUCUCUCUCUUUCUUGCUGUCUGUCUGUCUGUCUGUCUGUCUGUCUGUUUGCUGUCUACCUCUCUCCCUCCCCCUACAUCUCUUUCACAUACACCCACCUAUAGAAGAUGCUCUGAUCAUAGCCCUGUCUCUUCUUUGUUUUCUACAGAUAUUAGAAGACCUUCAUCUUCUUUGGGGCAUAAAGCAACAAGUGCAACUUUGUUUCUGAUUCAUCUCCCCACAUCAGCAAGAGAACAAUCAUCAGUAUUUACUAUGUACCAGGCUCUAAUCUGGGUAAUGUCUACUGUUAAAUAUCAAGUGUACACUAGCCUCAUGGGGCCUUCCAAACCCCAGGUUUCAAGCAGGGACCAGGAUCAGAGUGCAGACACGUUCAAAGUUACAUUCUUAGUAAGCCAUAGAGGUAGAGUUUCAGUCCUGGGCAGAUGCCUCUGGGUUGUAUGUUUUCCUAGACUGCCCUCUGCAGAGCGUGCCAGAGAGGAGACUGGUAGAACUCUGCUCUGGUCAGUGAGAGCUGUUGGCAUUUUUUUUUCUGUCUAAUAACUUCAUGCUUCAAUCCAAUUACUUUGGCAUCAUUAGGAUUGUGACUGCUGUUUUUGUUGGUGCCACUCAGUGCCAAUUACUUCUGUUGCUGAUAUUCAUGUUACCCAGGCAAGCCUUGCAGGCUGUACUGCUUGCUGCUAGGGACAAGCCACACUUCCCUGUGGACCUCAGUAGUUGCCAUAAGAAAAAUUACAAGGUGAUAAAAUGCCUUUGAGGUUUUAGUUUUCAGAGCUUAUUUAGAGUUAGAAUUAAUGCGCUGAGCAGGUCUGAACACAUAUGCACACAUGUGUACACAAACACAGAUGUACACACAUGCACACAAUUCACAUAUAUGCAUACUCAUGUAUACAUAUGCACA
RNAcentral lists this long non-coding RNA (1941 nucleotides) under Mus musculus (house mouse). Its description in RNAcentral is "long non-coding RNA chr12:29165000-29166941". The record is from RNAcentral. Lineage: Eukaryota; Metazoa; Chordata; Mammalia; Rodentia; Muridae.